This 430-nucleotide ribosomal RNA is filed under the name Uncinaria sp. SAN-2011. Its description in RNAcentral is "partial 12S ribosomal RNA". The record is from RNAcentral. Lineage: Eukaryota; Metazoa; Nematoda; Chromadorea; Rhabditida; Ancylostomatidae.
UUGUUUGUUUAGUUUUUAAAUAAUUAUAGGUUAAAUUUUAAUUAUUUUAUGUGUAUAAUUAUAAUUUUAAAUUUUGAAAAUCGAAUUAGAUUAGUACCUAAUUAGUCAAAAGUUAAAAGAGCAGAAGUAAAGUAAAAUUUAAACUGAAAGAAUAUUGGCAGAUUUUCUAAAUUAUCUUUGGAGGUUGAGUAAUAAUUGAGAACCCUCAUUAACUACUUUUUUAGUGGUCUCAUGUAUGAUCGUUUAUUAUAUGCUUAAGGUAUAUAAUUAAAAAUUAUUUAUUUAUAAAAAUAGAUAUAUAUUUGGUUUAUAUAAAAGUAAUAUUUGACCUACAAUAAUUUGUAAUUGUGGAUCUACUUUUUUGUGAAGUAGUGAAAAUGUAAAAGACAGUAAAAAAAUUUUUAUGGUUUUUUGAAGAUUAUUUAGAAGU